UGGGGAAUUUUGGACAAUGGGCGAAAGCCUGAUCCAGCAAUGCCGCGUGUGUGAAGAAGGCCUUCGGGUUGUAAAGCACUUUUGUCCGGAAAGAAAUCCUCUGGGUUAAUACCUCAGGGGGAUGACGGUACCGGAAGAAUAAGCACCGGCUAACUACGUGCCAGCAGCCGCGGUAAUACGUAGGGUGCAAGCGUUAAUCGGAAUUACUGGGCGUAAAGCGUGCGCAGGCGGUUUUGUAAGACGGAUGUGAAAUCCCCGGGGCUUAACCUGGGAACUGCAUUCGUGACUGCAAGGCUAGAGUAUGGCAGAGGGGGGUAGAAUUCCACGUGUAGCAGUGAAAUGCGUAGAGAUGUGGAGGAAUACCGAUGGCGAAGGCAGCCCCCUGGGCCAAUACUGACGCUCAUGCACGAAAGCGUGGGGAGCAAACAGGAUUAGAUACCCUGGUAGUCCACGCCCUAAAACGAUGUCAACUAGUUGUUGGGGAUUCAUUUCCUUAGUAACGUAGCUAACGCGUGAAGUUGACCGCCUGGGGGAGUACGGUCGCAAGAUUAAAACUUAAAGGAAUUGACGGGG
Molecule: ribosomal RNA, 573 nt
Filed under: uncultured bacterium
Lineage: Bacteria
Description: partial 16S ribosomal RNA
Rfam family: Bacterial small subunit ribosomal RNA
Source: RNAcentral